Molecule: ribosomal RNA, 505 nt
Filed under: Botryotinia sp. FL-2010e
Lineage: Eukaryota; Fungi; Ascomycota; Leotiomycetes; Helotiales; Sclerotiniaceae
Description: eukaryotic LSU rRNA
Rfam family: 5.8S ribosomal RNA (bases 152-305)
Source: RNAcentral
AUUACAGAGUUCAUGCCCGAAAGGGUAGACCUCCCACCCUUGUGUAUUAUUACUUUGUUGCUUUGGCGAGCUGCCUUCGGGCCUUGUAUGCUCGCCAGAGAAUACCAAAACUCUUUUUAUUAAUGUCGUCUGAGUACUAUAUAAUAGUUAAAACUUUCAACAACGGAUCUCUUGGUUCUGGCAUCGAUGAAGAACGCAGCGAAAUGCGAUAAGUAAUGUGAAUUGCAGAAUUCAGUGAAUCAUCGAAUCUUUGAACGCACAUUGCGCCCCUUGGUAUUCCGGGGGGCAUGCCUGUUCGAGCGUCAUUUCAACCCUCAAGCUUAGCUUGGUAUUGAGUCUAUGUCAGUAAUGGCAGGCUCUAAAAUCAGUGGCGGCGCCGCUGGGUCCUGAACGUAGUAAUAUCUCUCGUUACAGGUUCUCGGUGUGCUUCUGCCAAAACCCAAAUUUUUCUAUGGUUGACCUCGGAUCAGGUAGGGAUACCCGCUGAACUUAAGCAUAUCAAUAA